GACCAGGGGCGUACAAUUUCGUUUCAAUGAUACACUUUCAUGCAACAUUUGAAUGAGUGACUUCAAGUGUUUCAUACAUUUUUCUAAUGACUCGGUCGUUAAAAAAAAACUUUUCCACUCAUCGUAGCACUCGGUAGUCUCCCACCCGGUCGCAUUGCUUGUGCUUCACCCGUCAGAGCAUUAGUGUCUCACUGGUGCGCGCUAGUCUCUCAAUGGUUUCGGGCGCCGGUUAAUUGGAUUUAAGUGAUCGAAUUUGUUAUCCUCUUUCAUAAAACAUAAUUAUCAUUCUAUUGGCGUGCACCACUAUUUAAAAAUGUGGUUUAAAUAGUGUUUUUAGCAUGUUGAAGUAUUUCAAUGACUCAUAAAUGAAACGAAAAUCCAAGUGUAUCAUACCAUGUUUCAUACACACUUGUUUCUGUAGCAGCAACGAACGAGUGUGUUACUGGGUGAGAGAUGAAGCAUCACAGCAGUCCGUUCGCAUGGGAAACGAUUUGCUACAGUCGUCGUACGUCAUGUUUUCCUUUCGAAAUUGCACGACCCUGAACAUAAUAUCCCAAGUAGGUGGAAAAAUCUGAUGAACAGCAUAUUUAGUUAUUAUUCAUUGAAUUACUGAAGAGCAAAAACUGAUAUUGGUUUAAUUGAUAUAAGGUAAAAGGUCAGAAAUAAAGA
This is a long non-coding RNA of Aedes albopictus (Asian tiger mosquito), 669 nucleotides long. RefSeq lists it as uncharacterized. The transcript is spliced from 2 exons. Lineage: Eukaryota; Metazoa; Arthropoda; Insecta; Diptera; Culicidae. The record is from RefSeq and is a predicted model, not a curated record.